GAGGAAGAGUUCUCUGACUCUGAUGAGGUGAGAGAGGGUGGCCACAAGAACUCUUCCAACUUCAAAAAAGCCAAGAGAGUCAAAACAGGAUGGAAAAGAGAAAGACCUAGAUGAGAAGAGCAAAGUCACAGAAGAGGAGAAAACCAAGGAGGAGAAGCCAGAAGCCAAAGGGGUCAAGGAGGAGGUCAGGUUGGCCUGAGCAGACCUCUCCAGCUCUGGCUUCUUGCCAAGUCCCCUGCCUUUCUCCACCAACACCUCAGAUUUUAUGCUUUCUAUUUCUCUGUGUAUUUAUAGGAAAGUUUAUUAAAUAUAAAUAUCCCCAGGGACUAGACAGAAACCAAGGCCCUGAGCCCAGGGCAGCUAUGCUGGGUGAACUCUUCUAGGAGCUGCCUUGCCACCCAUCCUUCCAUCCUUCCCCAGUUCUUAACUUUGAACCAUAAAGAGUACCAGGUUUGGGUGAAAGGGAUACUUUCAUGCAACCAUAAGACAAAAUCCUGAAAAUGCCAAAUGCCUGCUUAGUAGCUUUGGAAAGGUACCCUUAUUGAACAUUCUAGAAGGGGUGGCCAGGUCUUCAAGGGUCUCCCGUUCUUUUCAGGCUGCUAAUGUAACAUCAGCCAUUUUUAGAUUGGCUCUGUCCUCAUACCUUCCCAGUGGCCUCAGGUGAGCCAAGAAACUCACACUGCCUGCCCUUUGUCUUCCCCUAAUUCUGCAGGUGGAGGUUGGUGGUCUAGUUUCCUUUUUGAGAUACCGUUUUCAUUUUUGAGACCUUUGUAAUAAAAUGGUACAUUUCUAUACAAAAAAAAAUAA
RNAcentral lists this long non-coding RNA (807 nucleotides) under Homo sapiens (human). Its description in RNAcentral is "novel transcript". The record is from RNAcentral. Lineage: Eukaryota; Metazoa; Chordata; Mammalia; Primates; Hominidae.